ACCUGGGUGGCUCAGUUGGUUGAGCAUCUGACUCUUGAUUUUGGCUCAGGUCAUAAUCCCAGGGUUGUGGGAUCAAGCCCCAUGUCAGGUU
This 91-nucleotide transfer RNA is filed under the name Felis catus (domestic cat). It matches the Rfam family "tRNA". Rfam says of the family: Transfer RNA (tRNA) molecules are approximately 80 nucleotides in length. Their secondary structure includes four short double-helical elements and three loops (D, anti-codon, and T loops). The record is from Rfam by way of RNAcentral. Lineage: Eukaryota; Metazoa; Chordata; Mammalia; Carnivora; Felidae.